Non-coding RNA from Populus trichocarpa (black cottonwood), 129 nucleotides. The record is from Rfam. Lineage: Eukaryota; Viridiplantae; Streptophyta; Magnoliopsida; Malpighiales; Salicaceae.
AAAAAAGCAGGGCCUUGUUGCCUUUUGUGAACAAGGCUCUCGUAAACUUCAGGGAAAUUAAUUGCAUUGUUAUUGGGUGAACCUCUGUUGUUAUUGGUGGCUGAAGGUUCAGUAAAUGAUGGUACAGUU